GUGCCAGCCGCCGCGGUACUACCGGCAGCCCGAGUGAUGGCCGAUAUUAUUGGGCCUAAAGCGUCCGUAGCUGGCCGAACAAGUCCGUCGGGAAAUCCACGUGCUUAACGCGUGGGCGACCGGCGGAAACUGUUCAGCUUGGGGCCGGAGGACCCGAGGGGUACGUCCGGGGUAGGAGUGAAAUCCCAUAAUCCCGCACGGACCACCGAUGGCGAAAGCACUUCGAGAAAACGGAUCCGACAGUGAGGGACGAAAGCCAGGGUCUCCAACCGGAUUAGAUACCCUAGUAGUCC
RNAcentral lists this ribosomal RNA (293 nucleotides) under uncultured bacterium. Its description in RNAcentral is "partial 16S ribosomal RNA". It matches the Rfam family "Archaeal small subunit ribosomal RNA", at positions 455 to 747 of the family's 1478-position model. The record is from RNAcentral.